AGGAUAAUAGUUUAAUUAAACAUUUAAUUUGCAUUUAAAAAUAUUGGGGGCCCCAAUUAUCUUA
This 64-nucleotide transfer RNA is filed under the name Ceutorhynchus parvulus. RNAcentral's name for it is "tRNA-Ala". Lineage: Eukaryota; Metazoa; Arthropoda; Insecta; Coleoptera; Curculionidae. The record is from RNAcentral.